UUUUUAUAGUUAUUUUCCAUAAGGAUACCAACACUGUUCACCACUGCCGAGGCAUCACGAAGAACAGGAAGUAAUGAAUUUGGAUCUUUUUGAGCAUCCAACGUCUCCCAUUCAACAUCAUCCAUCCAUGGUUCUUUGUUAUGCAAUCCUCCAGCUCCUCUUCGGGAUACUGAAACCACCUCGUAACCCUUAGCAAUGGCUAAUUUGCAAAUAUUAUGCCCUAAAAAGCCUGAACCACCUAAAACAACAAUUUUCAUACUUAAAA
This is a non-coding RNA of Schizosaccharomyces pombe (fission yeast), 265 nucleotides long. Lineage: Eukaryota; Fungi; Ascomycota; Schizosaccharomycetes; Schizosaccharomycetales; Schizosaccharomycetaceae. The record is from the annotation of a GenBank genome assembly.